Long non-coding RNA from Orcinus orca (killer whale), 2323 nucleotides. RefSeq lists it as uncharacterized. The transcript is spliced from 2 exons. Lineage: Eukaryota; Metazoa; Chordata; Mammalia; Artiodactyla; Delphinidae. The record is from RefSeq and is a predicted model, not a curated record.
GGUCUGACAGGGGACGCAGAUUCAGGUGAGGGGCGGCUGACAGGGGACGCAGAUCCAGGUGAGGGGCGUCUGACAGGGGACGCAGAUCCAGGGGAGGGACGUCUGACAGGGGACGCAGAUUCAGGGGAGGGACGUGGGUCUGAGAGAGGAGGCAGUCUGAGGGGAGCUUGGGCCUGCCAGGGGAGGUUGUUGUCAGAGGGGAGUGGCUGAGGAGGGCAUGAGUCUGGGAAGCAAGGCUCUGAGGAAGACAGGGAUGUAGAUCUGAGGGGAGAGGGCUUUUGAAGGGGCCAUGAGUGUGCAGGGGACAGAGAUGCGGCACUGAAAACUGAGGGUCCUUGGAGGAUGGUCUGGGGGCGUGUGUGAGAAAAGAAGACGCAAAGCACAGGUGGGCCUUGGAGGAAGGUCCUAAACAGGAGGAGGCCGAGCAGGCGGGCCGUUGGCAGAGGAAACAUUCCAUGCUGAGAAGAGGCAACGACUGUGGGUGAACUUCGACUGGAGUGUGUGAAAGUCUAGUGGGAGGUCAUCGUAGCCCAGGAGAGCGGGUUUGGGGAAGUUUUCGCUUUGCCGCAGGGAAGGAGAGGAGUCAGUUUGGGAUGGGAAGAGUAAGGGAGAAGGCAGGGAACCCAGGUCUGGAAUUAGAACAAGAAGAAAGGCUGGGAUGCUCCGGCUGAGCAGGGGCAUCAAGGACGGGAAAUCACAGUCUAAGAAAAGGGAUUCUGUGGGGCAGCUCAAGGUAGUCAAGAGUUUUUGGUCCUGAGUCAGUUUUCGCCCAAACACUUCUACAUUCAAGGAUGAGAAGCAGCUCAGACUUUCUUUCAUUCUUAAAAACAGCUACAUACAAAAAGGAAGUUUCCUGUCCUUUCCUUUUUCUUGUAAAACGCUGCUCUUUCUUGUAAUACUCGCUCUUUGGACUUCCUGUUUGGUGAAGUUAGUGAUCAGAGAACAAGAUAGACCAUGCAAGCUACGUUUGUCCUUUGUGUUCUGCGUGGAAAAAAUGGUUUUAAUAUUUUCCUGUCCAUCUCACUCAUUUAUUUACUUUGGAUUUGAAAUAGUGUCAUUUUUGCACGGCAUACUUGUGUGCCCUGAGACUGUUGUUCUCUACGAUGGAAGCAGGUUAAGUGUAUAUAUAUAAAUGAAUAUAUUCAAGAAAAAACGCAUACGCGCUUUUUGGCUAAGCAGCAUGGGGUGGUGGUUAGAAUAAUGGUAGAUGGGUGUCUGGUUGAAGAAAGGUGUGAGAGAGGAAGAGGAAGAUAGUGAAUGUAGUAAUCCCUCUUUGUAAAGAAACUAAAUGUUUAAAAAUUUGAUCUUCAUGUCUUUAAAUGGAUAGAUAUUCCCUUUAUAUCUUAAAACUUCUGAAACAAUAAAUACAUUGACUAUCAUUCAAGGUUCCUUUUGGUCUGAUUGAGUCAAAUCGGUCAUACUUAAAUGAAAGUCAUGUCCAUCUAUUUGGCUUCAUGUUUUGGAGAGAGGCUCAAAGUGGCAUAUUUAUAGUAUUUAUAUUGUACCUGGAGUAAAUUAUUAAGUUUUUGAGUUUUGGGGGUUUUUUUAAUAGCAUGCCUGCAACCAUUUUGAGAGCACUUUCAAAUAACCCUGCAAGAGUUGUAGGAUGAUGGAAAGAUCACUAGUGUUAGUCAGAAAACCUGCUCAGGCCCUGCCAUUUAUUAGUUGUAUAGCUUUGGCCAAGUCACUUAACCUCUCUGAACUUCACUUUCCUCAUCUAUUAAAUUGGAAUAAUAAUACAUGGAAGAGGGAUUAAAAUUUAAGUGAGAUAAUGUGUGAAAGAAUCUGGUAUUGUUUGCUGAUCUUAAUAUUGAUAGUUAUGCUCUUUGUUAUCUACAAUUGUAUACUGCACUUAAAAUUUACCACUUGGAUUGGAUAGAAAUGAAUAUAGUCUCGAUAUUUUUUAAAAAAUUAAAAAUGCGGGCUUCCCUGGUGGCGCAGUGGUUGAGAGUCCGCCUGCCAAUGCAGGGGACACGGGUUCGUGCCCCGGUCCGGGAAGAUCCCACAUGCCGCGGAGCGGCUGGGCCCGUGAGCCAUGGCCGCUGAGCCUGCGCAUCCGGAGCCUGUGCUCCGCAACGGGAGAGGCCACAACAGUGAGAGACCCGCAUACCGCAAAAAAAAAAAAAAAAAAAAAAAAUUAAAAAUGCAUGUAGACGAGAGAUUCCAAGGUAGUUUCAAUGGCUUGAACAGUCUGGGUAAAAGGAAAAUUUAAAUAGACAUGAUUGAAAAACAAUGUUGUCUGUAUUAUCCAGUUUAAAAGAUUGAUAUACUUGAAUUUAAGUAUGAUUUGAUAUGAUUAAAUCAGACUAAAUUUAAUCCUAAA